RNAcentral lists this long non-coding RNA (1261 nucleotides) under Gallus gallus (chicken). RNAcentral's name for it is "lncRNA (ENSGALG00010022853.1)". The record is from RNAcentral. Lineage: Eukaryota; Metazoa; Chordata; Aves; Galliformes; Phasianidae.
AGAUCCCCAAGCUCUCAGAUCAACUGCUCCAUCAUGGCCUGCAUGGAAAAGAAGGAUUUCCCCUCCCUCAGACCUUCUCACCACUGUCCUGGAGGCUCAGGACUGAGCCAAAGCUGGCUGCUGUCCGUCGGAUGGUUCCCCUCAUCUGCAGUUGGGUGUUGGAUCAGAGCCCGUCCCUGAAAAAUCAUAACUGUUAACAGAGGUGUCUGGGAGCGAUCGCAGCAGUGAUGGGAGAUGGAAGAGCACCAGCGGGGGCCUUUGUUACCGCGAGCCAAGGAGGAGUUUGGGAAGAGCCGCUCCAAAUCACCUGAUCUCCUGAUGGAAGAAUUGGAGGGGAGACCAGCAAAGGAAGGAGCUUUGCAGUUUCUACACUACCAGAGCAGCGAAUGUCACCUUGCUGACUCUUCAGAAGGAAGGAUGGCCUCGUGGUUGCCUGGGGCACAGCUGGGGGACCACCUCAGCCCUACGCAGGGCAGCCAUGCCUCUGCUCUGCUCACCGUGCUCUUUCCCAGGAGAGCAAGCAACCUUAGACUUGGAAGAAGGAGACACAAGGAAGGACCUGUGAAGAGAAGGGAUGAGUCUGGAGGAUAAAUCUAAGCAUCAAAGUUUUGUGAAAAGAGGUGGGGACAAAGGACUGCGCUCAGGUACCCAAAUGUACCGCACUACUUGAAGCAUCCUGAGGUAUGUGAGACAGCAGGCGUGGAUGGCAGAUGUGAGAAGAGACCUGGAGAACACCCAUACUCUUCCAGCAUGGCAAGUCCUCUAGAGGAUCUUGGAUGGACCCCAAGAGCUCUAACCCUCACACAUCAGGUGACAGCUCAGUACUGAAGGUAACCUCUUGUUUGCCUUUCUUCUGAGGCACUUCAGGGCUUCACCACCAACAGCAACAUCUGAUCUGGGGUCCCAAGUGGUCCCCUGGAGGCUCACUGCUCCUCUUCAGGUGCAAGGAUUCAGAGGUACAUCUGUGGUCACUCAGGGACUCCUUCCCUUCAUGUUGGCUCCUGGUUUUUAUUCCUUUCCUCCUGGGAAAGGCAUAGAGGCACCCCUGCCCUUUCCCCCACCCUCGGGGCUGCUUUGGGAUGGCGGGACAUGGUCAGCCUUUCCGGGGUCCGUGUGAAAGAAGUGAAACGGGAACAUGAAGGUGGUAAUGGAGUGGAAGCAAAGCAGGGAAAGCCUUGCUGAUGGAUUAUUAGGCACUGUCAAAGUUUCAACAGAGUGGAAAACUUGGAGGCCAAAGUGAGUAGUAACCCUUGAAAAAUCA